GAAAUGCGAUAAUUAAUGUGAAUUGCAGAAUUCAGUGAAUCAUCGAGUCUUUGAACGCACAUUGCGCCCCCUGGUAUUCCGGGGGGCAUGCCUGUCCGAGCGUCAUUGCUGCCCUCAAGCACGGAUUGUGUGUUGGGCUUCCGUCCCUGGCAACGGGGACGGGCCCAAAAGGCAGUGGCGGCACCAUGUCUGGUCCUCGAGCGUAUGGGGCUUUGUCACCCGCUCCCGUAGGUCCAGCUGGCAGCUAGCCUCGCAACCAAUCUUUUUAACCAGGUUGACCUCGGAUCAGGUAGGGAUACCCGCUGAACUUAAGC
This 314-nucleotide unclassified non-coding RNA is filed under the name plant metagenome. RNAcentral describes it as "partial contains 5.8S ribosomal RNA, internal transcribed spacer 2, and large subunit ribosomal RNA". The stretch from base 1 to 105 matches the Rfam family "5.8S ribosomal RNA", at positions 50 to 154 of the family's 154-position model. The record is from RNAcentral.